AGUUCACUUGCGACAUUCUUUUGUUCAGAGUUACAUUUUCUUUAAUGAUAAACCCCUCUGAGCUGCUUGGGCUAAUGAGGAAAAAGGCUGAGUGAUAGUGGGUGGCUGUGAUUGGUUGAGAGUGUCAGCUGGACAAUUUCAGCCUAUCACAGCACUCGAUGCCUGUAUGAAUUGCUAUGGCUUACUGCCGUGUGGGCUGGGAUUUGGGUGGCCAGGGGUUGGCAAUGUUAAACUGCUUGAAAAUGGUCUAUUACUGAAUGUAGGGACAAUGCCAGGGUACUCCUGGCACUAAAAUCAAUGAAAUAAAAUGGCUAUAAUGUCUACAGUGUCCAUUUAAGCUUUGCAGGAGGGGUUUUUCAAAUAUUCAACGUUCAAAUGUUGGCAAACUAAAACUCCUAUGAACCUUUUUGCGUCCCACUUUUUUUUUACUUUUUAAAUCUUUGGGUGUGCUUCUUUUCUUUGCAUAGGGUCAUGGGAGUUGGUCUGCGAACAUCUUGAGGUAAUAGUAAUUGAUUAUCCCUCAUCUAACUCAUUCACUUAAACAUUGAAUGACA
This is a non-coding RNA of Pelobates cultripes (western spadefoot toad), 554 nucleotides long. Lineage: Eukaryota; Metazoa; Chordata; Amphibia; Anura; Pelobatidae. The record is from the annotation of a GenBank genome assembly.